UGAGGAAUAUUGCGCAAUGGCCGAAAGGCUGACGCAGCGACGCCGCGUGGAGGAUGAAGUCCGUUAGGAUGUAAACUCCUUUUGUAGGGGAUGAAUAGUCCCGAUUUAUCGGGAUUUGACCGUACCCUGCGAAUAAGGAUCGGCUAACUACGUG
Molecule: ribosomal RNA, 154 nt
Filed under: uncultured bacterium
Lineage: Bacteria
Description: partial 16S rRNA
Rfam family: Bacterial small subunit ribosomal RNA
Source: RNAcentral